This 340-nucleotide unclassified non-coding RNA is filed under the name Hevea brasiliensis (rubber tree). The record is from RNAcentral. Lineage: Eukaryota; Viridiplantae; Streptophyta; Magnoliopsida; Malpighiales; Euphorbiaceae.
UAACGGUUGGGAUUUACUUUGAAGAGGAAAGGGGCUUUAAAUCUUCAGUUUUAAAAGGCAUGAAUCCCUCAACUUGGAACAUGUGUUAAUAAACAAUCGUGUGAGCAUGAGGAUGAUACAAAAAUUAAAGAAUUAGUACAACCAAUUAGUACAACCAAUCAUGGGGAUGGUGAAACAAAAGAAUAAAAGGAAAAUGAGAUAUUUAGCUAAUUGUAAAUGAAGGGCCAUAAGACAUUGAAGCUGUCAGCUGUCCUUUUCUCAUGUACUAGUCCUAGUUCCCUUGUCAUCAAUGUUGCUCUUUUCUAAGGUUCUUGAAUAAAGUUACAGGCUCAGCAGAGAG